This 494-nucleotide ribosomal RNA is filed under the name uncultured Massilia sp. RNAcentral describes it as "partial 16S ribosomal RNA". Lineage: Bacteria; Pseudomonadati; Pseudomonadota; Betaproteobacteria; Burkholderiales; Oxalobacteraceae. The record is from RNAcentral.
CACGUAGUUAGCCGGUGCUUAUUCUUCAGGUACCGUCAUGAGGUACGGAUAUUAGCCGUACCCUUUUCUUCCCUGACAAAAGAGCUUUACAACCCGAAGGCCUUCUUCACUCACGCGGCAUUGCUGGAUCAGGGUUGCCCCCAUUGUCCAAAAUUCCCCACUGCUGCCUCCCGUAGGAGUCUGGACCGUGUCUCAGUUCCAGUGUGGCUGGUCGUCCUCUCAGACCAGCUACUGAUCGUCGCCUUGGUGAGCCUUUACCUCACCAACUAGCUAAUCAGAUAUCGGCCGCUCCAGGAGCAUGAGGUCUUGCGAUCCCCCAUUUCAUCCAUAGAUCGUAUGCGGUAUUAGCGUAACUUUCGCUACGUUAUCCCCCACUCUUGGGCACGUUCCGAUAUAUUACUCACCCGUUCGCCACUCGUCAGCGGAGCAAGCUCCCUGUUACCGUUCGACUUGCAUGUGUAAAGCAUGCCGCCAGCGUUCAAUCUGAGCCAGGA